RNAcentral lists this long non-coding RNA (223 nucleotides) under Mytilus galloprovincialis (Mediterranean mussel). Lineage: Eukaryota; Metazoa; Mollusca; Bivalvia; Mytilida; Mytilidae. The record is from RNAcentral.
CUGGCAUUUACAUUUUUCAGGGGGUGAUGCCAACAAGAAUCCUCUAAAUUUUUCAUCUAUUUGAAGGUGAUUACUGAUUAUUUAUAUUGCCGAUGAUUUUUUAACCAGAGGUUAUGGUAUGUUAAAAAUCAAAAACGGAAAUAUUAUACAGUGUCUUUAACAAUAAUAAAAGAGUAAAAUUACUAUAUUCAACUGGUAACGAUAUAUAUCAAUUAAAUUAAUU